This 1368-nucleotide long non-coding RNA is filed under the name Mytilus galloprovincialis (Mediterranean mussel). Lineage: Eukaryota; Metazoa; Mollusca; Bivalvia; Mytilida; Mytilidae. The record is from RNAcentral.
AUAUUUUUCUUUUCUAUUGUGGCAUAUAAGAUUUCAUAUCGAAUGUACUAAAUCUGGGGUCCGACGUCCAUGAACUUUUCAAUCUUUGAACUUCUAUAUUGGAACCACGUCAUAGGAUCAAUAUAUGAAUCUGUUAUUUUUCUCCAUUGUUGAAGCAUAUGAUAAAAAGAUCAUAACAUGUCAUUUUUCAUAUCUCAUGUAUUAUCAGCCCUCAGUCAAUAUCAGCCCUCGAGCCAUGCGGCUCUUGGCUGAUAAAUACAUGCGAUAUGAAAAAUGCAUUAUCAUGCAAAUUGGUGCAAAUAUUAACUUUAACAAUGUUUAAUCAUGAAACAUUCCAGACAAAAGAAUCUUGCAAGAUAAGAACUAGAAACAAAUAGUUCGGAAGCAGAGCUCCUUAGUCAGGACCAUUAUAAUUAUUGCUUGUUAUUUUGUUUAUGCAUGUUACAUAUAAUUAUUGUUACUGUGAUAUGAUUAGGGCUGUUCCAAAAUUCAUCAGAUCGGGGAAUGGGAGGCAACGAGAUUAAAUGGUUAGUAAGUGGCAGAUCCAGAAUUAUUUACAUUAUAAGGAGGACCCACUGACUGCCAUAACAGAAGGUGCUUUAGUGAUUCCCUAUAUAAUCAACCAUUUUUUUUACAUGAUGAGGGGGUGGGGUGGGCCCCCUGAAUCUGCAUAUAUAUGAGUGGCAGUUUUUUGUAAGAACUGUACAGUAAUGAAAAAUGAAAAUAUUGAUUUAUUGGUGAUUUUGGUCUUAAAAAGUGUCUCCAAUGCCCCCACAUUUAAUUCUGGAACAGUCCUUAGUUAGAAGUCCCUUAUACAUGUCAUUGUUACGAUUUUCGUCAGAAAAUCUUUUUUACAUUAAGUAUUUAUUACAGUAAGUAUUACUUUCUAAACACAAACCAAGAGAAAUGUGGAAAUAAAUAUGUGUUAAUGGAUCUGUUCAGUAAAUGUAUUUUGUUUUAAGAGUUUUCUUUGGAAAAAAUGUCUAUGGAGGCUGCAGAGAAUGCACAUGUAUUGUAAUUGACAAGGUCAAAGUUUAUUUUGGGAAUUGGUCUACUGAACUUUGUGUGUCAAAAUUGAGUGAUAAUUAUGUUGAAAUAUAUUCAUUAAACUUUUUUAAUAUUGUAAAAAUAUUGGCAAAACUAUUUAGGUCCUCGAUGCUCUCCAACUUUGUACUUUAUUUGACCUUUUGAACAUCUUUUGAUUCGAGCGUCACUGAUGAGUCUUUUGUAGACGAAACGCGCGUCUGGCGUACUAUAAAUAUUUAAAUCCUGGUAUCUAUGAUGAGUUUAAUUAUUACCAUAUAAACAAGAAAAAUUAAUACAUUUUAGGCGCUUUAAAUACUGAAUUUGAUAAACAUUAUCCUGAAC